This is a non-coding RNA of Picea glauca (white spruce), 121 nucleotides long. The record is from Rfam. NCBI's taxonomy places the organism in Eukaryota, Viridiplantae, Streptophyta, Pinopsida, Pinales, Pinaceae.
ACAUGCCUACAACAUUGUGUUAAUGCACCGGAUCCCAUUAGAACUCUCCAGUUAAGCGUGCUCAGGCUAGAGUAGUACUGGGAUGGGUGACUGCCCAGGAAGUCCUAGUGUUUUACAUGCC